CUGUGAAUAUUUUUCCUGUUCUGAUUUUGUGAUAAUCAGAACAGGCUAAAUAUACACCAUAUUGAGACCAUGCAUUUGUCCCAAGACCUAGUUCUUUUCCUAUGUGUGGUUUUAUAAAUGCUGGCAAUAAAC
Small nucleolar RNA from Marmota marmota marmota (Alpine marmot), 132 nucleotides. Its record names the gene SNORA72. It matches the Rfam family "Small nucleolar RNA SNORA72". From Rfam's summary of the family: U72 is a member of the H/ACA class of snoRNAs. The snoRNA gene is located in intron 4 of the ribosomal L30 protein gene in human, mouse and chicken. The record is from Ensembl. NCBI's taxonomy places the organism in Eukaryota, Metazoa, Chordata, Mammalia, Rodentia, Sciuridae.